UCCGAAGGGGGCUAGCGUUGUUCGGAAUCACUGGGCGUAAAGCGCACGCAGGCGGAUUGAUAAGUCAGGGGUGAAAUCCCGGAGCUCAACUUCGGAAUUGCCUUUGAUACUGUCUAUCUUCGAGUUCGGGAGAGGUUGGCGGAAUUCCUAGUGUAGAGGUGAAAUUCGUAGAUAUUAGGAAGAACACCAGUGGCGAAGGCGGCCAACUGGCCCGAUACUGACGCUCAUGUGCGAAAGCGUGGGGAGCAAACAGG
This 254-nucleotide ribosomal RNA is filed under the name uncultured bacterium. Its description in RNAcentral is "partial 16S ribosomal RNA". It matches the Rfam family "Bacterial small subunit ribosomal RNA", at positions 524 to 776 of the family's 1533-position model. The record is from RNAcentral.